AAUAUUGGACAAUGGGGGAAACCCUGAUGCAGCAACGCCGCGCGAGCUAUGAAGGCCUUCGGGUCGUCCCGCUCUGUCCUAAGCGAAGAUAAUGACGGUACCUUGGGAGGAAGCCCCGGCUAACUACGUGCCUGCAGCCGCGGUAAUACGUAGGGGGCAAGCGUUAUCCGGAAUCAGUGGGCGUAAAGGGUGCGUAGGCUGCCCUAUAGGUCAGAGGUCAAAGGCUACGGCUCAACCGUAGUAAGCCUUUGAAACUGUAGGGCUUGAGUGCAGGAGAGGAGAGUGGAAUUCCUAGUGUAGCGGUGAAAUGCGUAGAUAUUAGGAGGAACACCAGUGGCGAAGGCGACUCUCUGGACUGCAACUGACGCUGAGGCACGAAAGCGUGGGUAGCGAACA
RNAcentral lists this ribosomal RNA (396 nucleotides) under uncultured bacterium. RNAcentral describes it as "partial 16S ribosomal RNA". It matches the Rfam family "Bacterial small subunit ribosomal RNA", at positions 360 to 774 of the family's 1533-position model. The record is from RNAcentral.